RNAcentral lists this transfer RNA (77 nucleotides) under Actinomycetota bacterium. RNAcentral describes it as "tRNA-Asn". It matches the Rfam family "tRNA". From Rfam's summary of the family: Transfer RNA (tRNA) molecules are approximately 80 nucleotides in length. The record is from RNAcentral. Lineage: Bacteria; Bacillati; Actinomycetota.
UCUCGCGUAACUCAAUUGGAAGAGUGUCAGACUGUUAAUCUGGAAGUACUGGGAUCGAAACCCAGCGCGAGAGACCA